UACGAAGGGGGCUAGCGUUGCUCGGAAUCACUGGGCGUAAAGCGCACGUAGGCGGCUUCUUAAGUCAGGGGUGAAAUCCUGGAGCUCAACUCCAGAACUGCCUUUGAUACUGGGAGGCUCGAGUCCGGGAGAGGUGAGUGGAACUGCGAGUGUAGAGGUGAAAUUCGUAGAUAUUCGCAAGAACACCAGUGGCGAAGGCGGCUCACUGGCCCGGUACUGACGCUGAGGUGCGAAAGCGUGGGUAGCAAACAGG
Molecule: ribosomal RNA, 253 nt
Filed under: uncultured bacterium
Lineage: Bacteria
Description: partial 16S ribosomal RNA
Rfam family: Bacterial small subunit ribosomal RNA
Source: RNAcentral